GAUGAAGAACGAAGCGAAAUGCGAUAAGUAAUGUGAAUUGCAGAAUUCAGUGAAUCAUCGAAUCUUUGAACGCACAUUGCGCCCGGUAGUAUUCUGCCGGGCAUGCCUGUUCGAGCGUCAUUUCAACCAUCAAGCCCCAGCGCUUGUGUUGGGGGCCUGCGGCUGCCGCAGCCCCCUAAAAGCAGUGGCGGGCUCGCUAUCACACCGAGUGCAGUAGUUCAUCUUCUCUCCGGUCUUGUGAGGCGGGUUCCGGCCGUGAAACACCCCACUACAUUCAAGGUUGACCUCGGAUCAGGUAGGAAUACCCGCUGAACUUAAGCAUAUCAAUAAGCGGAGGA
RNAcentral lists this unclassified non-coding RNA (338 nucleotides) under soil metagenome. RNAcentral describes it as "partial contains 5.8S ribosomal RNA, internal transcribed spacer 2, and large subunit ribosomal RNA". The stretch from base 1 to 120 matches the Rfam family "5.8S ribosomal RNA", at positions 35 to 154 of the family's 154-position model. The record is from RNAcentral.